GACGAACGCUGGCGGCGUGCCUAAUACAUGCAAGUUGAGCGCUGAAGGUUGGUACUUGUACCAACUGGAUGAGCAGCGCACGGGUGUGUAACGCGUGGGGCAUCUGCCUUUGAUCGGGGGACAACAUUUGGAAACGAAUGCUAAUACCGCAUAAACACUUUCAACACAAGUUUUAAGUUUGAAAGAUGCCAUUGCAUCACUCAAAGAUGAUCCCGCGUUGUAUUAGCUGGUUGGUGAGGUAAAGGCUCACCAAGGCGAUGCUACAUAGCCGACAUGAGCGGAUGAUAAGCCGGAUUGGGACGGAGACACGGCACAAAGGGAUACGGAAGGCAGCAGGAGGGAAACGUGGGGAAUGGACGAAAGACAGAGCGAGAAACGCCGCGGGAGUGAAGAGGGUUGUCGGGUCGUAAAACUCUGUUGGUAGAGAAGAACGUGGGUGAGAGUGGAAAGCUCAGAAAGUGACGGUAACGACUCAGAAAGGGACGGCUAACUACGUG
Molecule: ribosomal RNA, 497 nt
Filed under: uncultured bacterium
Lineage: Bacteria
Description: partial 16S ribosomal RNA
Rfam family: Bacterial small subunit ribosomal RNA
Source: RNAcentral